Molecule: transfer RNA, 69 nt
Filed under: Nactus sp. ASW510
Lineage: Eukaryota; Metazoa; Chordata; Lepidosauria; Squamata; Gekkonidae
Also listed under: 1 other name
Description: tRNA-Trp
Rfam family: tRNA
About the family: Transfer RNA (tRNA) molecules are approximately 80 nucleotides in length. Their secondary structure includes four short double-helical elements and three loops (D, anti-codon, and T loops).
Source: RNAcentral
AGAAAUUUAGGUUAAACAUUCAAACCAAGAGACUUCAAACCUCUAAACAGGGAAUAGCCCUAAUUUCUG